This is a long non-coding RNA of Caretta caretta (loggerhead turtle), 1932 nucleotides long. RefSeq lists it as uncharacterized. The record is from RefSeq and is a predicted model, not a curated record. NCBI's taxonomy places the organism in Eukaryota, Metazoa, Chordata, Testudines, Cheloniidae.
GGCGAAGCCUCCAGCACAGUUGCAGGAGGGAGGGAAACAGAUGCAUCCUGCUCACUCCAGGCUGCUGACUUCGCUGCCAAACCAAGAGAUGCCUUCUCCCGAAGGAGCCUGUGUCUGCAGGGGAGCUGCUUAGACUGUUGCUGGCCACCUCCCCUGAGGAGACGGAGGACACCCACUGAUCCAGGGAUGGUUAGAACAUUUGGAAACCACCAAAAGGGAUGGCAUUUUCCAUGGAAUUUCAGCUAAGAGAUGGGGAACUGAGGCACCGCAAGAUGAAGGAUCAGAUAUUUAGAAGGCUCCUAAUGUUGCAGACAGGAGUCUAGUGGGAAUUUCAGAAGCACGUAAGCAGCUUCAACCUGUUUCGUGGCACCCCAGAUAGCUGCCCUGCCCUGGAAAGUCAUUUGACACUUUAUUGAAGGACCACCACUGAGAGCCAUCUGUAUGGGGAGAUGUCAGCAAACCAGUAAAGUGUCUGAAACCACUAUGGCUUAUUGCUAAAAGCAGCCAAGUCAGCAGGCCAUAAAGUGGCCAUGUAGCAAACUCAGCUUGACCAAGGAAGGAGGGGAGGGGGUUUUGGGUGCCACAGAAAGGGCAGCUUGACCCCGUGUCCUUCCUGAUAAGAAUUGUGUUGACAUUGUUGAAACAUACAUUUUAGAAGAGCAGGAUGUGCCUCAGGAAUGUCUAUUGGGGCCUCAAGGCUGCAAACUCUGGAAAAAUCCACACCUGGUUAAUCAAUAAUCAGAAGGAGCCUCUUGCUUGACCAUUGGAACUGCUUGCUUAACAAGUUUUCUUUAAGGGACAAGUCAUUCUUUUACUAAAUGUAAAGUAUAAAUAAGGGGGGAAAGUUUGAGGUAAUGGGACUCUUCAGGACUGGACUCUUCCUCUGGAUGCAUCUUGUGUUCCCCACUAACAGACGGGCUGCUGCUGUGCCACUGGAGAGCCACACUCAGCUUUGGUGCACUUCAAGUGGAGUGUUAUGUGCAGCCUGCCAACAAUUCCCAAGCUCCUUCAUAACUUCAAAUCAAAGCUUAUUGUAGAAAGGACCUUGCUCUGUUGCUGAGCCUGGGAGAUCCAGCAGUAAGAGAAUGAGCCUCUACAGUUUCAGCUAAAGCGGUCCAAGUGGAGAUGCCUGUGGAGUAAGGAAGAUCUCAGAAAACUGUCAUGCUCAGAGUUUUCACAAGAGUUUGAGAGUCAGCUGUCCCGAACGUGAGACCAGAUUUCCAGCCUGCAUCAACCCUUCUCUUAUUUUUUCUCACUCUGGUGCAUGCACUCUUUUGUGCAAAAGUACAUUUGUCUAGACCAUUUUGUUAAUUUACCCUUGCAAAUGGGCAUUUUUGGUUCAAAUAUGCUAAUCUGGAGAUUAAGGAAACUACCGUGCAGUCAGAGAGGGGGACUGAAUAAUCUAACAAUUUUUUUCCAUGUUCUAAUUUCUAUAAUUCAAUAUAUAUGCAAAAUUAGAGGCCACUUUUUUGAAAAAUUGGCCCUUUGUAUGCACCAUUGCAGUUAGUUUGGCAGUUUUGAACUGGAGUCAUCAGCCAUAUCUUGAAAGGAUAAAUGCGAUCUCCUGCAGCAUAAGAUGUUUGCAAUAGGGCUGUCAAGCAAUUAAAAAAAUUAAUUGCAAUUAAUCACACUGUUAAUAAUAGAAUGCCAUUUAUUUAAAUAUUUUUGGAUGUUUUCUACAUUUUCAAAUAUAUUUAUUUCAGUUACAACACAACGAGUACAGUGCUCACUCUAUAUUUAUUUUUAAUUACAAAUAUUUGUGCUGUAAAAAAACAAAAAAAGUAUUUUUAAUUCACUUCAUACAAGUACUGUAAUGCAAUCUAUUUAUCUUACAAAUGUAGAAUUAUGUACAAAAAACUGCAUUCAAAUAUAAAACAAUGUAAACUUUAGAGCCUACAAGUCCACUCAGUCCUACUUAUUGUUCAGCCAGUC